This 500-nucleotide ribosomal RNA is filed under the name uncultured bacterium. RNAcentral's name for it is "partial 16S ribosomal RNA". It matches the Rfam family "Bacterial small subunit ribosomal RNA", at positions 30 to 523 of the family's 1533-position model. The record is from RNAcentral.
AUUGAACGCUGGCGGCAUUCCUUACACAUGCAAGUCGAACGGCAGCACGGGAGCAAUCCUGGUGGCGAGUGGCGAACGGGUGAGUAAUAUAUCGGAACGUGCCCAGUCGUGGGGGAUAACGCAGCGAAAGCUGUGCUAAUACCGCAUACGAUCUACGGAUGAAAGCGGGGGAUCGCAAGACCUCGCGCGAUUGGAGCGGCCGAUAUCAGAUUAGCUAGUUGGUGAGGUAAAGGCUCACCAAGGCGACGAUCUGUAGCUGGUCUGAGAGGACGACCAGCCACACUGGAACUGAGACACGGCCCAGACUCCUACGGGAGGCAGCAGUGGGGAAUUUUGGACAAUGGGCGAAAGCCUGAUCCAGCAAUGCCGCGUGCAGGAUGAAGGCCUUCGGGUUGUAAACUGCUUUUGUACGGAACGAAACGGUGAGCUCUAAUACAGUUUGCUAAUGACGGUACCGUAAGAAUAAGCACCGGCUAACUACGUGCCAGCAGCCGCAGUAA